GACGAACGCUGGCGGCGUGCCUAAUACAUGCAAGUUGAGCGCUGAAGGUUGGUACUUGUACCCACUGGAUGAGCAGCGAACGGGUGAGUAACGCGUGGGGAAUCUGCCUUUGAGCGGGGGACAACAUUUGGAAACGAAUGCUAAUACCGCAUAAAAACUUUAAACACAAGUUUUAAGUUUGAAAGAUGCCAUUGCAUCACUCAAAGAUGAUCCCGCGUUUUAUUAGCUAGCUGGUGAGGUAAAGGCCCACCAAGGCGAUGAUACAUAGGCGACCUGAGAGGGAGGAUGGCCAACAUGGGACCUGGAACAGGCCCAAGACCCUAAGGGGAGCAGCAAUAGGGAAACAUCGGAAAAGGAGGGAAGUCUGGACGAGGAACGACGGGGGAGUGAAGAAGGGUUUCGGAUCGUAAAACUCUGUUGGUAGAGAAGAAAGUUGGUGAGAGUGGAAAGCCCAUCAAGUGACGGUAACUACACAGAAAGGGACGGCUAACUACGUG
This 497-nucleotide ribosomal RNA is filed under the name uncultured bacterium. RNAcentral describes it as "partial 16S ribosomal RNA". It matches the Rfam family "Bacterial small subunit ribosomal RNA", at positions 28 to 507 of the family's 1533-position model. The record is from RNAcentral.